ACCCAAAUUACUCUUCAUUGAGCAGACCUAUGACCAAAGGCGCUCCAGCCACAAUCAUCGCCACUUUCAUUUCAUGUACGUCGUCCAAAAUGUAUUUUUUUAAAAGGAAAUUUGGCUGUUAUUUCUACUAUAUUUGACUGCAUAGAGACUCUCGCAUAGACUGGUAAUAGUCUAUGAAAUAGGCCGAGAAAGACCGAUUGACCAAACAAGGGAGAGAUAGCGAGUGAGGGAAAGAAAAUAUAGAAGAGAAGUAAGAAUAUUCCUUAGAGAGGUGCAGUGAGUGAAAGAAAAGCGAAAAACAAUUACGAACAGAGAGGAAGAGUGAAAAGAAAGAAAGAGAGACGAGUGAGAAAUUACACUGUAUGAGGGAUAGGAAGAGGAAGGGCAAAGUGCAAACCACAAUUUGAGAGGAAGAGGGAGAGGGAAAACACUAAGAAAUAAAGAGAAAGGGGCAGAAUAAGAGAAAGAGGCAGAAUAAGAGAAAGAGUGUGAUAAAGGUGUGAGUGUGUUGCGUUCAGGCGCUUACCUGGUUAGACAGGAGACAUUUACUCAGGAUCUCUUACAUAUGUUGUACAGACUUUCUUCUACCCAGCAAUGAACUGCAGGAUUAUGGAGCUUUGUGGUUGAUGAUAAUAGUGUAGAGUAGCUGGCGACUUACAAUGUCUCACAUUAUCCCGAUGGUAUCAGGUUCUCCGCCACCUCUUGAUGAUAUUACUUGGAAUGAUGAAGAAGACGAUGAAGAUGACUUUGGUAAUUUCACCGGUGUUGCAGACAAUGUCAAAAGCCCUUCCUCUGACAGAGGGUUGUAUUUGGAUGAUACUGUUGAGUUUGAUGCCUUUAAAGACAUACACUUCAACACCAUAGAUGGGGACAUUGUAAAUAAAGAUCUUUCAUCAGCAUCAGCUACCAGUGAACGACCCAUUCUUCAGAACCUCAACUUGUUCCCAGACAAGCCCCCUCACAUUGAGCUUAGUGAAAAAGCCUUCAGUAAUGGAGAAGAUAUGCAAACAGCAUCAAAUGUUGCUGAGUUUGAAAAUAUUAGUUGUGAUACUAAGACAUUGGGCUAUUUGUCCAACCUUGAUGGCAGUCGAGGUCGAGACUCUAUGACUGAUUCUGGUCACUGUAGUACUGAUAUCUCACCUGUUCCAAAGUCGGAUGAAAGUCCAGAUUCCUGUGAUAAAAGUACCUCUUCUGAACUUGAAGAUAACUUCAAUGGUGAAGUAGGUGAGAAAGGGAAUUGUCAAUUGUUCUGUAAUCUCUCUGAGAUCAAUACAGACCAGCUGACUGGUAGAGCUGAUAGCUCUGGUUGUGAUAAAGAUAAACGUUUUAUCAACACCACCACCUCUAAUAAUACUAACACUACCACCACUACUAACACAGACAUUGACCACAGUACAUCCCAAACAGAUCCACAGAACCCAAAUAAAGACAUUUCUUCACAUGAACAAUCUUCGUUUAGUACAAACACCAUGAAUCAACAAACUGAUAAAUCUGGUGAUUCACCAUCACCACCACCACAACCACCACCACUACCACCACCUCCACCAUCCUCCUCCUCUUCUUCCUCAUCAUCAUCAUCACCAUCAUUAUCAACAUCACUUCCUUCUCCUAACUGUCCUCCUCUCCCUCUAACUACUACAGCACCAGAUUCUGCUGCUAUUUCCCAAUCUGAAUUUACAGCUGGAACCAAUGAAGCUGUGAGUUCAAAUCUAUCCAACACUUGUUUGUCAGGCAUGUUUGAUGAUGAUUCUGAUGACUGGGCAGACUUCUCGUUUGCUGUCACAUCGAAUCCACCUCCUCUACCACCUCAGGGCAAUAACACUUGCAGCAGUUUCCAGGUCUCUGAAAACCUGUUCUCCCCGUCCACACCGUCUUUUGAAGAGUCGUCUACACGAGCUGAAAAUGAAGAAUUUGCAUCAGAAAGCAUUGAAAAUGAAUUAGCAGCAGGUGAAGACACCCUAAAAGACAUUUCUGAAGAGAUUCAGAGUUCUUCAUCCAUUCAAUUUGACUCAAAUUCUAGAAACCCUAAUUCUUCACCAGAUAUACGGAGUGAAAUAGAUUUACCGAGUCUUGAUGAGAGUUCAAUAGACUAUGACGAUUUGGUUCAGAACUGUGAGUCUCGCAGUAACGACAGUCUAGAUGGGAGCUAUUCCAUUUCGGAUCAGGUCCGGACAGUUGAACUGAAAUAUUCCACAGAGGAGAACCAAGAAUCAGACGAUGAUUAUGGUGCUUUUCCAGGAACAGGUACUAAUUCAGCUUCAGAUAAUUUUGUGCCCAGAACAUCAAACAGUGAUUCAAUAACUAGUCAAACUAAGUCUGAAGAGGAUGAGUUUGGUGAUUUCAAUAAGUUCAAUCGAGCUGUUGCAGAAAGUGAAGACGAGUGGGCUGAUUUUGAAGCUGCCACUUCACCUUUUUCUGUGGACAUCCAAGUGCCAACAGAGUCGGCUGUGUCUGACAAGUUGAAAGAGGAAGAGGAAUCCUCUUGGUGUAGUUUUGAUGCUAACGUCCAAUCACAUUCCAGUCAUGAAAUUGACAGUGGCCAAUGGGCACAGUUUUCUGAAAGUUCCUCACUCAGCCAUAAUGAUCAGGAGCUUCCAGAUGCUUCACAGCAACAGCUACCAAGUUUUUUCCCACUUGACCCACUACAUUCCAAUGUAAAUAUUUCUCAAACUAUAGUCUCAGUUAUGAAUAAUACUUUCCCUAAAGUGGCACCAAUCUCAGUUUCCUGUAAAUUACUAGAGAAUGCUCUGCUUCAGGAUGUUAUUCUUCAGGAUGUUACGAUGAAGAAAACUGCAGGCACACAAAAGAAAGCCGGAACAAGUGCUUACACAUCUAGUUGCUGUAUAUGGAAACAGCUAUUGGAUGUUGAUGUCACAGAUGCUCUGACCUAUAACUUCACUGAUUCCAAAGGCAGCAACAGGUUGUUUAAAACUUUGCGGAUAGAUUCCAGAAAAAUUUUGGUGACUCACAAGAAGCCAGGCGUUCCAAUAUUUGCAGCGAACUUAGGUUUAUUGGAACCCAGCAAAGUAAUUAGUGGUGAGCUUAUGAAACCUUCAUCCAAUCUGGUGCCAUCGUUGCCGCAGGAAACUCUCAUAGACACCAACCGUACGGAUCAGUGUGAUUCCCUCAGACAGCCGGCAGCCGCUCCUGUUGACAUGAAAGCAAUGAGUUGAUAUUCCACCUGUGCAGUUUGACUGGACUGGUAGUGGUCUUACUAAUCCAUUAGAGCAAUCGGCAGCAUCGGCAAAUACUUUGGACUUGGACUUCCUUGUGGUGAAAGACUCUCCUGAAACUACGAUAUCA
This 3303-nucleotide unclassified non-coding RNA is filed under the name Octopus sinensis (East Asian common octopus). Its description in RNAcentral is "a-agglutinin anchorage subunit, transcript variant X4". Lineage: Eukaryota; Metazoa; Mollusca; Cephalopoda; Octopoda; Octopodidae. The record is from RNAcentral.